UAGUUUGCGCAGUGGCAGUAUCAUAGCCAAUGAGGUUUAUCUGAGGUGUGAUUAUUGCUAAUUGAAAACUAAUCCCAUAUUAGUUUGAUGUCCAGAGGUAGCCCCUUGGUGAAAAACACCUGUAAAAUGUUCAAGAGAAG
Small nuclear RNA from Protopterus annectens (West African lungfish), 140 nucleotides. RefSeq annotates it as U4 spliceosomal RNA. NCBI's taxonomy places the organism in Eukaryota, Metazoa, Chordata, Ceratodontiformes, Protopteridae. The transcript has a single exon. The record is from RefSeq and is a predicted model, not a curated record.